This 253-nucleotide ribosomal RNA is filed under the name uncultured bacterium. Its description in RNAcentral is "partial 16S ribosomal RNA". It matches the Rfam family "Bacterial small subunit ribosomal RNA", at positions 524 to 776 of the family's 1533-position model. The record is from RNAcentral.
UACGUAGGGUGCAAGCGUUGUCCGGAAUUAUUGGGCGUAAAGAGCUCGUAGGCGGUUUGUCGCGUCUGCUGUGAAAACCCGAGGCUCAACCUCGGGCCUGCAGUGGGUACGGGCAGACUAGAGUGCGGUAGGGGAGAUUGGAAUUCCUGGUGUAGCGGUGGAAUGCGCAGAUAUCAGGAGGAACACCAAUGGCGAAGGCAGAUCUCUGGGCCGUAACUGACGCUGAGGAGCGAAAGUGUGGGGAGCGAACAGG